Long non-coding RNA from Brienomyrus brachyistius, 720 nucleotides. RefSeq lists it as uncharacterized. NCBI's taxonomy places the organism in Eukaryota, Metazoa, Chordata, Actinopteri, Osteoglossiformes, Mormyridae. The record is from RefSeq and is a predicted model, not a curated record. The transcript is spliced from 3 exons.
ACCUGCCUGGCCACCCUAUGGUUUCACAUCAACUGACCAUGAAAGGUCAAACUGCAGAGUGUCUGUCAGCAAUUGCAACCUCUGACAAUCAUCCAGACAAAUAUGUAAUCCCUCCACCCUCUUUCCAUAACCGCUGAAGCUAAGCAGUGUCACAGUGAGCCUAGAGUUCCCUGGGAAUCCCAAGACGUGACACACCCUGGAAAUGAAUGACCGGCCCUCUCAGGGAAGAAGACAUGGGCCAACAGAACCACGUGACACAUGGAUCGGGGCAGGAUUUUAUUCAUGGAACAAAAGAGGAGAGGAGUUUGGAAAAGCUCAGUGAAGACAUUAUGGGCAAAAGACAGCCAUUAUGGAAUCAGCAUGGGGAUCCCACAGCAGGAAACAAAUGACAGAUUAUAAAAACAGCUGAGGCUGACAAUGGGCUGGAUCUUCAGGGUUUGGGCACUUUUGGGGAACUAAAGUUAACAUUUCAUGACUGAAAAUAAGGUAAACGAAGUGAGUGGGCAGAUAAAACAGUGACUAAAAGACUAAUCAGCUUUUACAACCCCCCAUGCAAUCGCAACACCCUGUUUUAUGACUCAGUACCUUGUGGUACCUUCUCCACUGAUAGCAUGCAUGAAAAAAACUACAUAGGCAGAGAUGUUUACACCUGUUACUAUGUGGCGGUCACCUGCCUCUUCAUUGUCUCUUAUCUGGAUCAGAGUGAAUUACGACUGUCUU